Molecule: non-coding RNA, 551 nt
Filed under: Pongo abelii (Sumatran orangutan)
Lineage: Eukaryota; Metazoa; Chordata; Mammalia; Primates; Hominidae
Source: RNAcentral
GGCUUUUUUUUCCUUGCCUUUUUUCCCCCUCUCCCACCCCCUUCUCUCUGCUGCUCCCCGCGACCUGCGAUUUCCUAGGGGUCCGGAACUCUGUACCCAAGGCACCGGUCACCCCCUCAGGACGGCUCCUAGCUCAUCUGAGAAGCCCCUGUGCCCAUGUCCACCCAUAAGCAGAUGGCCUCCCCCCAACCAUGAGGAUUUUUUAAUGGGGUGAAAAUGCCAGUCCCUGAAGCCAGGGUUCUCGGACCCGCAGGGCCGAGCUGGGCGCGGGAGCCCCGCAGGGGCGGGGAGGCCGACCGAGCUUGAAGAAGUGUAGGAGAGAUCUACACAGCUUAAGUGGGGCGUCCCCAUCCCAUCUUCCUGCGCACCCUCCUUUGCCCCCAACUCCAUCUCUGCGACACUUCCCCACCCCCACCCCCCCAAAAAAAGAAGUCACUCCCGGGCUCUGUCUGCAGAGAGCCAGGGUGAGAGCGGGCAAGGCAAAAGAGCGACCUCGGUCGUGGGCAAGUAGCUUGUUUUUACGUCCUUCAAUAAAAUUUUUAUGAGGAUAA